This is a non-coding RNA of Arachis ipaensis, 501 nucleotides long. The record is from RefSeq and is a predicted model, not a curated record. NCBI's taxonomy places the organism in Eukaryota, Viridiplantae, Streptophyta, Magnoliopsida, Fabales, Fabaceae.
GGAACAUAUCUCCGGUGAGUACGAUGCUUACGUGGUGGCCCGUUUUUGCUGACAAGUGUCAUAGUGUGUCACUAGUGAAAAUCAAAGGUCACAUAGAGAGGGAGAGACGUUGGUCUCGAAGCUUGGCGCGAAGAAGAAGGAUACAAGGCGAGAGGCAUUAUCGAAUCAAGGGUAACGGUUCUCAAGUGGCAUCGUGGGAUCACCAUUGUUCGCAAGGAGCAACCCUACGAAGAGAUGGAUCGUUUAGUUACGUUUGUGUAUCAUCACAUGGGUUGCUUGAAAAAGGUUAGAGAUGGGAAUGUGAUAUACGAAGGGGGUUUAGUCACUGAGAUACACAGGGUGAAUGUGGAGACAUGUAAUUUAUUUUUUGUUGAGGGGUUGUUUUUAGACCUGGGUUACCCUGGAUAUAAUGAGGCGUAUUGGCUAGAACCUGGUUUCGAAUUAGGUCAGGGUCUUAGAGUACUAAGGACAGAUGCUGAAGUGAUGAGGAUGUGUGAGAGU